AUAUUUUAUAUAGCCCAGUUUAUAGUCUGCGAUCUUGCAUGCUAGUUAUACCGACCUAAUUUAUCAAUUCUAUAUAGGAAAAUCAAACCGGCCUAAGUUGCAACAUCAAUCACUCCAUCAUGCUAAGAGACCAAAUGUAAACAAAUAUUUGGGAAUCGUAGAUCAAAUUCCCAUAUAAAAAACCCUUGUCCUCGCAAAACACCUCCUCCCCAUAAUUUCCAGAAGUCUAGCAGCAGAGGAACCAAGGUGGGAGACAUGGAUUGGUCAGUGAGCCGUAGCCGUUGGAGGAAGCGAAGCCAACGGAACAAACCCCUCUUCCUCCUUUCUCUUUCCCUUCUCCUCCUCCUCCUCCUCCUCUUCCUUGCCGUCUUCCUCUCCUCUUACGCCGAGAUCUUUCGAUCUCUCCUCCCCUUCUCCGCCCCUCUCCCCGCCGAAACCCUAGACGCUCGAUCCCCGCAAUGCGGCGCCGGCGGAGCCCCGGCCCUCGCCGGCGAGAGAUUCCUCUGGUACGCUCCCCACAGCGGCUUCAGCAACCAGCUCUCCGAGCUCAAGAACGCCAUUCUCAUGGCUGCCAUCCUCAACCGCACCCUCAUCGUGCCUCCGGUGCUCGACCACCAUGCCGUCGCCCUGGGGAGCUGCCCCAAGUUCAGGGUCGCCAGCCCCACCGAGCUCCGCACCGCGGUGUGGGAUCACAUCAUGGAGCUCGUUAGAGCUCGGAGGUAUGUUUCAAUGGCAGACAUAGUUGAUUUGUCUUUGCUAGCAUCAUCUGUGCUCAAGAUAAUUGAUUUUAGAGUAUUUGCUUCAACAUGGUGUGGUUUAAACAUGGAGCGCACUUGCUUUGCUAGCUUAUGUUGUGCUGUGUCUAGGGUUAGAUCUUUGUCAGGUAACUUUGACCGAUGCAGGUCCUUGCUAUCUGGCUUGCAAGGUAACAUUGAUCAGUGUGUAUAUGCUGUACAAGAUGACUGUAGGACAACAGUAUGGACAUAUCAACAAGACAAUGAUGGGAUUUUGGACUCGUUUCAGCCUGACAAAGAAUUGCAGAAAAGGAAGAAAUUGUCAUACAUUAGGAAGCGUAGAGAUGUAUACAAGGCUUUUGGACCUGGUUCGAAAGCUGAAACAGCCACAAUUUUGGCUUUUGGAAGCCUAUUCACAUCACCAUACAAAAGUUCUGAGCUUUAUAUCGAUAUCCAUGAUGCUCCAAGAGACACACGGAUACAGUCAUUGCUAAAGGAAAUUGAAUUCCUUCCCUUUGUCCCAGAAAUUAUGGCUGCAGGAAAGGAUUAUGCUGUAAACAAGAUAAAGGAGCCUUUUCUCUGUGCCCAACUUAGGUUGCUAGAUGGGCAGUUUAAGAACCACUGGAGGACCACAUUUUCAGCAGUAAAGCAGAAGAUUAAAACCUUAAAUUUGGAACUUCAGGGAAACAAGGUUCGUGGUCCUAUCCAUAUUUUUGUCAUGACGGACCUUCCUAUGGUAAAUUGGACUGGAACUUACUUGGCAGACCUUGCAAAAGAUGCAAGCUCUUACAAACUCUAUACACUACUAGAAAGUGAUGAAUUGGUAGUGCAGGCUGCUAAGAAACUUAUGGCAGCAGAGCAUGGGCUAAGGUCUGGUUACCUUCCAAGGAAUCAAGAGGGAACGGAUAAGAACAAAGCUUGUGAACCAGUGGCAUUACCAGAAAUUCUAUUAUACAUAGAGGCAGCUGUUUGCAGUUGUGCUUCCUUGGGUUUUGUAGGGACUGCUGGAUCAACAAUAGCAGAAAUCAUAGAAGUGAUGAGAAAAAAUAAUGUCUGCAAAUUGUAGACCAAUUGUACCUUUCACCGUUGCAGCUGGAUAUAUACCACAUCUAACAAAAGUGCUCAUCUCUGUUUCCACAAAGAAUAUAUCAAAAGAAAUCCAAAGUCUAAUGGUACAUGAAGUCAAAGAUCGAUUCAGGAACAAGAAUUUGAAUAUUUGAAACUGGGUACAAUUAAUGUUGACUUCCUGCCAACAAUUUUCUCUUGGUCUUUGAAACAUCAGAGAAUGGCAUAAAACAUACGUUAUUCACACCUGCAAUUUAUGCAACUAAUAAAGAGGAAGCCGUGCAGCUUUGGAUUUUAUUUUUGGGUACUCACACGGUCUGGCAUCUCAUAAAAAUCAUUGAAGGAUUUGACAAGAAAAGGAGCUUCAACUUGUUGUAUGCUGAUGCUAUAAUUUUCUUGGGAGAGAAGGCCACGGGCACACUGUGGGAAACAUUUCUCAGGACUUGAACCCAAGACUUGCUGUAUACAAGUGGAAGAAAUGACUGCUGAGCGAGGACUCGGAUGAUAAGCAAGUCCCAGUUCACCAACUUACGCUAUAAUGUUUAGCCAACCCUAAAAUGAUUAUAUCCAUGAUUUUGAACGGCCAGCUUCUGUCCAACAAGUACACAGAUGGUAAAUGCUUGUUCCACUACAUGUUUUCCUGAAACUAGGAGUUAGAGAAGGGAUGAUGCAAGUUGAUUUGGAUUCAUGUACUUCUUUUUAUGGGUUUUGAUAUAUGAUACGGUAGGUUAGUUGCUGUUACAGUGUUACGGUACUGCUUUUAGCUAAUCUUAUCUAAUGGAAAGUCCAUUUGAGUUAUACU
This is a non-coding RNA of Phoenix dactylifera (date palm), 2601 nucleotides long. Lineage: Eukaryota; Viridiplantae; Streptophyta; Magnoliopsida; Arecales; Arecaceae. The record is from RefSeq and is a predicted model, not a curated record.